GUGAGUCAUCGAAUCUUUGAACGCACAUUGCGCCCGCCAGUAUUCUGGCGGGCAUGCCUGUUCGAGCGUCAUUUCAACCCUCAAGCCCCAGCGGCUUGGUGUUGGGGACCGGCGAGCGAAGCCCCUCCGGGGGGUUCACGCCGCCCCCGAAAUGAAUUGGCGGUCUCGUCGCGGCCUCCUCUGCGUAGUAGCACAACCUCGCAACAGGAGCGCGGCGCGGCCACUGCCGUAAAACGCCCAAACUUUUUUUAGAGUUGACCUCGAAUCAGGUAGGAAUACCCGCUGAACUUAAGCAUAUCAAUAAGCGGAGGA
RNAcentral lists this unclassified non-coding RNA (312 nucleotides) under Pochonia sp. RNAcentral's name for it is "partial contains 5.8S ribosomal RNA, internal transcribed spacer 2, and large subunit ribosomal RNA". The stretch from base 1 to 71 matches the Rfam family "5.8S ribosomal RNA", at positions 84 to 154 of the family's 154-position model. Lineage: Eukaryota; Fungi; Ascomycota; Sordariomycetes; Hypocreales; Clavicipitaceae. The record is from RNAcentral.